AACGAACGCUGGCGGCGCGCCUAAUACAUGCAAGUCGAGCGAGAAGACGUAGCAAUACGUUUGUAAAGCGGCGAACGGGUGAGGAAUACAUGGGUAACCUACCCUCGAGUGGGGAAUAACUAGCCGAAAGGUUAGCUAAUACCGCGUACGCUCCUCGGACUUCGGUUCAGGGAGGAAAGCGAUACCGUGGGUAUCGCGCUCUUGGAUGGGCUCAUGUCCUAUCAGCUUGUUGGNGAGGUAACGGCUCACCAAGGCUUCGACGGGUAGCUGGUCUGAGAGGACGAUCAGCCACACUGGCACUGCGACACGGGCCAGACUCCUACGGGAGGCAGCAGUAAGGAAUAUUGCGCAAUGGGCGAAAGCCUGACGCAGCGACGCCGCGUGGGGGAUGAAGGUCUUCGGAUUGUAAACCCCUUUCGGGAGGGAAGAUGGAACGAGCAAUCGUUCGGACGGUACCUCCAGAAGCAGCCACGGCUAACUUCGUGCCAGCAGCCGCGGUAAG
This 502-nucleotide ribosomal RNA is filed under the name uncultured bacterium. RNAcentral's name for it is "bacterial SSU rRNA". It matches the Rfam family "Bacterial small subunit ribosomal RNA", at positions 29 to 524 of the family's 1533-position model. The record is from RNAcentral.